Long non-coding RNA from Mytilus californianus (California mussel), 2605 nucleotides. RefSeq lists it as uncharacterized. The record is from RefSeq and is a predicted model, not a curated record. NCBI's taxonomy places the organism in Eukaryota, Metazoa, Mollusca, Bivalvia, Mytilida, Mytilidae. The transcript is spliced from 3 exons.
ACAGACUAUAGGUUUAUCGAAAUCAAUACGUCGCCAUUUUGACUUGGUUUGGAAAGAAAGCAAGCACCUGUCGGCGACCGAAAUUCAUUCUAGCUUUAUGUCAUUUAAUGUUUGUUUUAGUCAGUAAAGCAGACUCAAAAAGCGAGAGAUUUCGGUAUUUGUAGGGUGUAAAGGUAGAGGAUCUAGUCCAAACUGUGUGGUAACAUCUAGAUAGUCUAGGUACCGGUUUUGGAACUGUGACUCCUAACACCAUGCCUUUCCAAUCAAAGAAUGAUCAAAUUAUCAAGCUGAAAAAUCAACGGGAACAAAUGACAUACCACCUCAAAAUCGAUAGAGUCAGAAUGACAAAAACUUUACCAGAAAUGAUACAUUUUUGUAAUCAAAGAAUGGCAGAUGACCCAUUGAUUCAUCCUGUGAAAGAUAACCCUUUCAAGGACAAGAAAACAUGUACAAUAUUAUGACUUCAAUGAAUUUAAAAAUGUAUCAACAUUUAAAUGGUGCACAUGGUAGACAUAGUGAAUUUUGUUGUCAUGGAAGAUCUGAUUGGGAUUUACCUGCCCUGUAUAUUACACUGUUAAUUUUUAUAAUGUACUAAAUAGCUUUUAUAUUUAUUCACCAUACUGUCAAUUCAGUCAUUAUUGUCUUAUCAAAAAGAUAUUAAGAAAAAAUAUCAACAGUUGAUUGGAAAGAAGAAAAAAAGAAUUGUUAAAAUUUUUGUAAUUUCUGGCAGUUACUAGUUCAUAAAUAUCUAUAGCCACAUGGCCAAAAAAUAAUAGGUAUAGUGAAUAUUUAAAAAGUUACUUCAUUACAUGUGUUUUGAUAUGUUUCUUCAUAAAGUUACAUGCAAUUUCAUGUUUCAUUAACUUUUCAAAUAAGAAUUACAAGAUGAUUUUAAGAGUCUACAUGGAUUUAGUUUGCAUGUUCAUACUUGUUGUAAUUGUAUGAUUUUGAUUUACAUAUCCUAUCCACAGAUGAUCACCAGUAAUAUCUGUAAGAUGAAAUAUGUGUUCCUCAAAUAAUAUUGACAAUUUCUGAAGGCAUUUCUAUAUGAUUCUACAAGGAUUGAUGCCCCCACUACCAACCACCCAAAUAAAAAGAAAGAAAAAAAUAGCAUUCAGGAAAAGUUUUAAGAUUUGGUUGGUUAAUGUAUAAUUUGACGUUAUAGUUUGAUAUUGUUCUUUGGCAAUAUUUGUACUGGAAGAAAGUUGAAAAGUCUCCAAACCAUAAUAAAAUUUUAGCAAUCUUGCUUCAAUUUGAAAUAAACACAUAUUCCAUCUUAGAUACUAGUAUAUUACAAUACCGGUAUGCAUUUGCAUGUAAAGAAAUCAUAUACAAUUGCAUAACUACCCAAACAUAUUGAUUUAAAAAAAUUCCAUUUAGGUAAUUGAAAAAAUGAGAACUUAAUUUUCUAGGGUACUUAUCUUGUAAAUAAACUCAAGCCAGAAGAUAUUAAUUUCAAGCUUUUGGAUUUUAUCAUACAGAUUGUUUAAGCCUUAUUGUAAUUUAAAAUUAGUUUGAAGGACAUGGUUACAUCUAUAAAGAUACAUUAAGGUGUCUCUUUACAUGCAAAUUUUUUUUUUUUGGUGUUUUCCAUUAGCAUGAAAAAUUAUAUUUUAAUUUUUUGAAGAAUAUUUGUUUUUUCGUUUAAAGAAUAUUUUGUUCAUUUUAAUUAGUUGUCUUUGAAUGUAGUGGAUUACCUUUGUAUACAGAUACUUAUAUUUGUCUGCAUCAGCAUAUACAUCAUAUUCUUUGGUUGUUACAAAAUGGGAAAAGGUAAUUAAAAAACACUUUAAAGAUUUUUGAAAUAACAAUGCAAUGCAAAUACAAUUCAGGGAAAUUAUAGACUGGAAAGAAGUUAAUUCAUACUGAUAAAGUUUGAGUUUUUCAAAGUUAUUUGUUAAGUUUGCAGAAAGGUUUAAGGUUGUUUUAUUUCUGUUACAAAACAGAUGCUCAAAGUGAUGAUGCAUAGAUCUCAAUUCAGCCAGAUGCAAAUGUUCAAACAAUAAAAGACUUACAAUGAUACAUACAUAUAUAGUUUAUACCAAUUUAUGUCACCUUGAUUGGGAAAAUACAAUUUUUAAGAACCAUCACUACCUAUAUCUGACAGUCGUCAAGAUUUUGUAUCAAAUUGACAUGGGCCAUAGGGAUAUUUGAAAGCAUGCAAUUAAAAUUUAUUGCUGAUCAAAAAUCAGAUUUUCAAGUACACUGGUGACAAUAUAUUAUUAAUGUCUUUCUAUCCAUUAAAACAUUGGUGCUGUUCAAUUAGGAUAUUUUGUAAACCUGGCUGUUUUAUUAGUUUAUGAGGUAAAACUUGGAAGACUAAUAGAUACCAUAUUAUUGUUGUUUUCAGAUAUAUUGUCAGAAUAAAAUCAAUAAUAUUGACUCAGUACCAUAAAAGUAAUCUUGUAAUAUGUGUGUAAUUAACCUGUAUUAUUAUUUAUGUUCUGAUAGUCAAUAUUCUGCUUAUUAUCUUCCAUGUUGAAGGUUCACACCUUUAAGAUACUUAAAUUUAUACGUCAGUGUAAUUAAUUGUCUUCCAGGAUAUAUAAGGGAAUUAUGCACAUUAUUUGUAUAUAAGAAUUGAAUAAAGAGAGUGUAUAUUUUC